UACAGAGGUCUCAAGCGUUGUUCGGAUUCAUUGGGCGUAAAGGGUGUGUAGGUGGCGCGCUAAGUCGGGUGUGAAAUUUCGGAGCUUAACUCCGAAACUGCAUUCGAUACUGGCGUGCUUGAGGACUGGAGAGGAGACUGGAAUUCAUGGUGUAGCAGUGAAAUGCGUAGAGAUCAUGAGGAAGACCAGUGGCGAAGGCGGGUCUCUGGACAGUUCCUGACACUGAGACACGAAGGCCAGGGGAACAAACGGG
RNAcentral lists this ribosomal RNA (253 nucleotides) under uncultured bacterium. RNAcentral describes it as "partial 16S ribosomal RNA". It matches the Rfam family "Bacterial small subunit ribosomal RNA", at positions 524 to 776 of the family's 1533-position model. The record is from RNAcentral.